Chrysemys picta bellii (western painted turtle) is the source of this 1155-nucleotide non-coding RNA. The record is from RefSeq and is a predicted model, not a curated record. Lineage: Eukaryota; Metazoa; Chordata; Testudines; Emydidae.
ACUACUGCAGCAAGCCUCACAUUUUAAAGCAAUCUCUAUUAAGCAGUAUUGUUUAAUGGUUAGACCAGCAGACAGUCAGGAGAACGGUGUUCUGCUCUCAACUCUGCUACAGUCAGUGUCACCCUCAGCAAGUAAUUUGACCUCAGUGUGCCUCAGUUUCCCCAUCUGUGCAACGCAGUGUAUUCUAGAUGCUCUGGUACCCGCCCUAAUUGAGCCUGAAGUCAAUAAUGCACUGAGUCAGCGUGGCAGAGAACGGAUUUAAACUACCAUAUCAUCAAGCUUAGUGAUGUGGAGAGAAGACUUCCACAUAUGGUGUGGGCUGUGGUGGAAAGAUGCUGCAAGGUUUCUCCAUGAAGAUGGGAUUGAGCCCAUACCAGUGAAGUCAAACAGCAAAACUCCCUUUGAUUGCAAUGGAGAUAGGAUUUCACCCUGAAAGCUUCAUCACCAACUUCAAUGAGAGCAGGAGCAGGCCCAUGUAGUCUAAAUGAUCCUUUUCUUAAUUUCAUCUCAUUAGUUACAAUUACACCCCUUUUCUCAGGCUAAAUAACACCUCUUCCAACCUGGUUUUCAGCUUUUGAUAUUGCAGAUCAGGGUAUCCUUUUAACUCACUAUAUACAUUAUUGGGGUUUUUAAUUAAAUGUUUUUCAUUAUAGGAAGGGGAGAAAAAGCCACUGACUGUAACAAAGAAAGUAAAAUAAAUACAAAACUGAAGUACAAUGUUAGCCCAUACUCAACAUGUCAUAAAGUAACAAUUUACAUCUGUUCACUGCUUUACAUUGCAAGAAACAAAGAAAACAGGAACAAGCCAUAGGAAAUGAGAAAAAGAGAAUAUGUAGGACAGUAUGUCAGACUGAAGAAAUACCAUGGAAAGCUAGGAAGUUGUCCCUAGACAGCCAAUCUGCUUGCUUGGCAAGGGGUUGAACUUGGUUGGUUUGGUUUAGUUUUUGUUUUGUUUUUCAUGUAAUUAUGCACUGGACCCAGCAGUUCUUAGCAAUGCCUGUUAUGGAUUAUGGACCAGAUUUUCCAAGUCUGGCACACUUAAUUUAAUGCAUAAGUGUGCCUAUCACACACGCAAAUACCAGAUAUGCAUGCACAGAUAAGGCCAGUUAUGUACCCAACAGACGUAGGUGCUCAUUUGUAUGCAUGAACACUUGA